GUGCCAGCAGCCGCGGUAAUACAGAGGGUGCGAGCGUUAAUCGGAAUUACUGGGCGUAAAGCGUGCGUAGACGGUUAUUUAAGUCGGAUGUGAAAGCCCCGGGCUCAACCUGGGAAUUGCAUUCGAGACUGAAUAGCUAGGGUACGGCAGAGGGAAGUGGAAUUCCGGUGUAGCGGNGAAAUGNGUAGAUAUCGGAAGGAACAUCAGNNGNGAAAGNGANUUCCUGGACCAGNACCGACGUUCAGGCACGAAAGCGUGGGGAGCAAACAG
RNAcentral lists this ribosomal RNA (270 nucleotides) under unidentified soil organism R6-146. RNAcentral's name for it is "partial 16S ribosomal RNA". It matches the Rfam family "Bacterial small subunit ribosomal RNA", at positions 505 to 775 of the family's 1533-position model. The record is from RNAcentral.